AAUGUGGUAUAUACGUGCAAUAAAACACUAUUCAGCCUACAGAGAAGAUUAGCAUGGUCCCUCACAAGGAUAACACACAAAUACAUGAAGCAUUCCAUAUUUUU
Molecule: small nuclear RNA, 104 nt
Filed under: Pan troglodytes (chimpanzee)
Lineage: Eukaryota; Metazoa; Chordata; Mammalia; Primates; Hominidae
Source: RNAcentral